AUGGUGCGAUCUAUGAUGUCUCUUACCGAUUUACCGCUCUCAUUUUGGGGUUAUGCUUUAGAGACUGCCGCAUUCACUUUAAAUAGGGCACCGUCUAAAUCCGUUGAGACGACACCGUAUGAAUUAUGGUUUGGGAAGAAACCUAAGCUAUCGUUUCUAAAAGUUUGGGGAUGCGAUGCUUAUGUCAAGAAACUUCAACCUGAAAAGCUCGAACCCAAAUCGGAAAAAUGCGUCUUCAUAGGAUACCCUAAGGAAACUAUUGGGUAUACCUUCUACCUCAGAUCCGAAGGCAAGAUCUUCGUUGCCAAGAACAGGUCCUUUCUAGAGAAGGAGUUUCUCUUGAAAGAAUUGAGUGGGAGGAAAGUGGAACUUGAUGAGGUGAUAGUCACCCCUUCCGAACCGGAAAGUAGCGCAGCGCGGGAAAAUGUUCCUGUGGUGCCUACACCGACUGGGGAGGAAGUUAAUGAUGAUGAUCAUGAAACUUCAGAUCAAGUUACUGAACUUCGUAGGUCCACAAGGACACGUUCCGCACCAGAGUGGUACGGCAACCCUGUCCUGGAAAUCAUGUUGUUAGACAACGGUGAACCUUCGAACUAUGAAGAAGCGAUGGCGAGCCCGGAUUCUGACAAAUGGCUAGAAGCCAUGAAAUCCGAGAUAGAAUCCAUGUAUGAAAACAAAGUAUGGACUUUGACUGACUUGCCCGAUGAGCGGCGAGCCAUAGAAAACAAAUGGAUCUUUAAGAAGAAGACGGACGCAGAUGGUAAUGUGACCAUCUACAAAGCUCGACUUGUCGCUAAGGGUUAUCAACAAGUUCAAGAGGUUGACUACGAUGAGACUUUCUCACCCGUAGCGAAGCUGAAGUCCGUCCGAAUCAUGUUAGCAAUUGCCGCAUACUAUGAUUAUGAGAUAUGGCAGAUGGACGUCAAAACGGCAUUCCUUAACGGCUUCCUUAAGGAAGAGUUGUAUAUGAUGCAGCCGGAAGGUUUUGUCGAUCCUAAGAAUGCUAACAAAGUAUGCAAGCUCCAACGCUCAAUCUAUGGGCUGGUGCAAGCAUCUCGGAGUUGGAACAUUCGCUUUGAUGAGAUGAUCAAAGCGUUUGGGUUUACACAGACUUAUGGAGAAGCCUGUGUUUACAAGAAAGUGAGUGGGAGCUCUGUAGCAUUUCUCAUAUUAUAUGUGGAUGACAUACUAUUGAUGGGAAAUGAUAUAGAAUUCUUGGAAAGUAUAAAGGCCUAUUUGAAUAAGUGA
Molecule: ribosomal RNA, 1248 nt
Filed under: Triticum aestivum (bread wheat)
Lineage: Eukaryota; Viridiplantae; Streptophyta; Magnoliopsida; Poales; Poaceae
Description: partial small subunit ribosomal RNA
Source: RNAcentral